AGAAAUGCCUAAACGUGUCACAUU
RNAcentral lists this non-coding RNA (24 nucleotides) under Arabidopsis thaliana (thale cress). Lineage: Eukaryota; Viridiplantae; Streptophyta; Magnoliopsida; Brassicales; Brassicaceae. The record is from RNAcentral.